Molecule: ribosomal RNA, 415 nt
Filed under: uncultured bacterium
Lineage: Bacteria
Description: bacterial SSU rRNA
Rfam family: Bacterial small subunit ribosomal RNA
Source: RNAcentral
GGGCCCGCACAAGCGGUGGAGUAUGUGGUUUAAUUCGAUGAUACGCGAGGAACCUUACCAGGGCUUAAAUGUAAGUUGCAUUAGUUAGAGAUAGCUAUUUCUUCGGACUACUUACAAGGUGCUGCAUGGUUGUCGUCAGCUCGUGCCGUGAGGUGUCAGGUUAAGUCCUAUAACGAGCGCAACCCCUGUCGUUAGUUGCCAGCAAGUUAAGUUGGGCACUCUAGCGAGACUGCCAGUGCAAACUGUGAGGAAGGUGGGGAUGACGUCAAAUCAUCACGGCCCUUACGUCCUGGGCUACACACGUGCUACAAUGGCCGGUACAGAGAGCAGCCACUACGCGAGUAGGAGCGAAAUCUAUAAAACCGGGUCUCAGUUCGGAUCGGAGUCUGCAACUCGACUCCGUGAAGCUGGAAUC